Molecule: ribosomal RNA, 119 nt
Filed under: Lepisosteus oculatus (spotted gar)
Lineage: Eukaryota; Metazoa; Chordata; Actinopteri; Semionotiformes; Lepisosteidae
Source: RNAcentral
UCCGGCAGCUAUAUCAUCCUGCAAUUGACAACUGGUAGCCCCAAUUAAAUUUAGCAGGUGUGAGGCUGGUCAGUACCUGGAUGGGAGACCUCCUGGGAAAGCUAAGGUUGCUACUGGAA